Molecule: ribosomal RNA, 547 nt
Filed under: uncultured Scutellospora
Lineage: Eukaryota; Fungi; Glomeromycota; Glomeromycetes; Diversisporales; Gigasporaceae
Description: SSU rRNA
Rfam family: Eukaryotic small subunit ribosomal RNA
Source: RNAcentral
UUGGAGGGCAAGUCUGGUGCCAGCAGCCGCGGUAAUUCCAGCUCCAAUAGCGUAUAUUAAAGUUGUUGCAGUUAAAAAGCUCGUAGUUGAAUUUCGGGAUUCUACCGUUGGUCGGGCUAUCCAGUCUGUACUAGCGUGUAGAAUUUCUACCUUCUGGGGAACCAUCAUGUUAUUAAUUUAGCGUGGUGGGAAACCAGGACCUUUACCUUGAAAAAAUUAGAGUGUUCAAAGCAGGCUUACGUCUGAAUACAUUAGCAUGGAAUAAUAGAAUAGGACGGUGGUCCUGUUUUGUUGGUUUCUGAAUCACCGUAAUGAUUAAUAGGGAUAGUUGGGGGCAUUAGUAUUCAAUUGUCAGAGGUGAAAUUCUUGGAUUUAUUGAAGACUAACUUCUGCGAAAGCAUUUGCCAAGGAUGUUUUCAUUAAUCAAGAACGAAAGUUAGGGGAUCGAAGACGAUCAGAUACCGUCGUAGUCUUAACCAUAAACUAUGCCGACUAGGGAUCGGACGAUGUUAAAUAUUAUUGACUCGUUCGGCGCCUUACGGGAAAC